UUAAGCGACUAAGCGUACACGGUGGAUGCCCUGGCAGUCAGAGGCGAUGAAGGACGUGCUAAUCUGCGAUAAGCGUCGGUAAGGUGAUAUGAACCGUUAUAACCGGCGAUUUCCGAAUGGGGAAACCCAGUGUGAUUCGUCACACUAUCAUUAACUGAAUCCAUAGGUUAAUGAGGCGAACCGGGGGAACUGAAACAUCUAAGUACCCCGAGGAAAAGAAAUCAACCGAGAUUCCCCCAGUAGCGGCGAGCGAACGGGGAGCAGCCCAGAGCCUGAAUCAGUGUGUGUGUUAGUGGAAGCGUCUGGAAAGGCGCGCGAUACAGGGUGACAGCCCCGUACACAAAAAUGCACAUGCUGUGAGCUCGAUGAGUAGGGCGGGACACGUGGUAUCCUGUCUGAAUAUGGGGGGACCAUCCUCCAAGGCUAAAUACUCCUGACUGACCGAUAGUGAACCAGUACCGUGAGGGAAAGGCGAAAAGAACCCCGGCGAGGGGAGUGAAAAAGAACCUGAAACCGUGUACGUACAAGCAGUGGGAGCCUCUUUAUGGGGUGACUGCGUACCUUUUGUAUAAUGGGUCAGCGACUUAUAUUCUGUAGCAAGGUUAACCGAAUAGGGGAGCCGAAGGGAAACCGAGUCUUAACUGGGCGUUAAGUUGCAGGGUAUAGACCCGAAACCCGGUGAUCUAGCCAUGGGCAGGUUGAAGGUUGGGUAACACUAACUGGAGGACCGAACCGACUAAUGUUGAAAAAUUAGCGGAUGACUUGUGGCUGGGGGUGAAAGGCCAAUCAAACCGGGAGAUAGCUGGUUCUCCCCGAAAGCUAUUUAGGUAGCGCCUCGUGAAUUCAUCUCCGGGGGUAGAGCACUGUUUCGGCAAGGGGGUCAUCCCGACUUACCAACCCGAUGCAAACUGCGAAUACCGGAGAAUGUUAUCACGGGAGACACACGGCGGGUGCUAACGUCCGUCGUGAAGAGGGAAACAACCCAGACCGCCAGCUAAGGUCCCAAAGUCAUGGUUAAGUGGGAAACGAUGUGGGAAGGCCCAGACAGCCAGGAUGUUGGCUUAGAAGCAGCCAUCAUUUAAAGAAAGCGUAAUAGCUCACUGGUCGAGUCGGCCUGCGCGGAAGAUGUAACGGGGCUAAACCAUGCACCGAAGCUGCGGCAGCGACGCUUAUGCGUUGUUGGGUAGGGGAGCGUUCUGUAAGCCUGCGAAGGUGUACUGUGAGGUAUGCUGGAGGUAUCAGAAGUGCGAAUGCUGACAUAAGUAACGAUAAAGCGGGUGAAAAGCCCGCUCGCCGGAAGACCAAGGGUUCCUGUCCAACGUUAAUCGGGGCAGGGUGAGUCGACCCCUAAGGCGAGGCCGAAAGGCGUAGUCGAUGGGAAACAGGUUAAUAUUCCUGUACUUGGUGUUACUGCGAAGGGGGGACGGAGAAGGCUAUGUUGGCCGGGCGACGGUUGUCCCGGUUUAAGCGUGUAGGCUGGUUUUCCAGGCAAAUCCGGAAAAUCAAGGCUGAGGCGUGAUGACGAGGCACUACGGUGCUGAAGCAACAAAUGCCCUGCUUCCAGGAAAAGCCUCUAAGCAUCAGGUAACAUCAAAUCGUACCCCAAACCGACACAGGUGGUCAGGUAGAGAAUACCAAGGCGCUUGAGAGAACUCGGGUGAAGGAACUAGGCAAAAUGGUGCCGUAACUUCGGGAGAAGGCACGCUGAUACGUAGGUGAAGCGACUUGCUCGUGGAGCUGAAAUCAGUCGAAGAUACCAGCUGGCUGCAACUGUUUAUUAAAAACACAGCACUGUGCAAACACGAAAGUGGACGUAUACGGUGUGACGCCUGCCCGGUGCCGGAAGGUUAAUUGAUGGGGUUAGCGGUAACGCGAAGCUCUUGAUCGAAGCCCCGGUAAACGGCGGCCGUAACUAUAACGGUCCUAAGGUAGCGAAAUUCCUUGUCGGGUAAGUUCCGACCUGCACGAAUGGCGUAAUGAUGGCCAGGCUGUCUCCACCCGAGACUCAGUGAAAUUGAACUCGCUGUGAAGAUGCAGUGUACCCGCGGCAAGACGGAAAGACCCCGUGAACCUUUACUAUAGCUUGACACUGAACAUUGAGCCUUGAUGUGUAGGAUAGGUGGGAGGCUUUGAAGUGUGGACGCCAGUCUGCAUGGAGCCGACCUUGAAAUACCACCCUUUAAUGUUUGAUGUUCUAACGUUGGCCCCUAAUCGGGGUUGCGGACAGUGUCUGGUGGGUAGUUUGACUGGGGCGGUCUCCUCCUAAAGAGUAACGGAGGAGCACGAAGGUUGGCUAAUCCUGGUCGGACAUCAGGAGGUUAGUGCAAUGGCAUAAGCCAGCUUGACUGCGAGCGUGACGGCGCGAGCAGGUGCGAAAGCAGGUCAUAGUGAUCCGGUGGUUCUGAAUGGAAGGGCCAUCGCUCAACGGAUAAAAGGUACUCCGGGGAUAACAGGCUGAUACCGCCCAAGAGUUCAUAUCGACGGCGGUGUUUGGCACCUCGAUGUCGGCUCAUCACAUCCUGGGGCUGAAGUAGGUCCCAAGGGUAUGGCUGUUCGCCAUUUAAAGUGGUACGCGAGCUGGGUUUAGAACGUCGUGAGACAGUUCGGUCCCUAUCUGCCGUGGGCGCUGGAGAACUGAGGGGGGCUGCUCCUAGUACGAGAGGACCGGAGUGGACGCAUCACUGGUGUUCGGGUUGUCAUGCCAAUGGCACUGCCCGGUAGCUAAAUGCGGAAGAGAUAAGUGCUGAAAGCAUCUAAGCACGAAACUUGCCCCGAGAUGAGUUCUCCCUGACUCCCUGAGAGUCCUGAAGGAACGUUGAAGACGACGACGUUGAUAGGCCGGGUGUGUAAGCGCAGCGAUGCGUUGAGCUAACCGGUACUAAUGAACCGUGAGGCUUAACCU
Molecule: ribosomal RNA, 2902 nt
Filed under: Escherichia coli
Lineage: Bacteria; Pseudomonadati; Pseudomonadota; Gammaproteobacteria; Enterobacterales; Enterobacteriaceae
Description: 23S ribosomal RNA
Rfam family: Bacterial large subunit ribosomal RNA
Source: RNAcentral